This 307-nucleotide unclassified non-coding RNA is filed under the name plant metagenome. Its description in RNAcentral is "partial contains 5.8S ribosomal RNA, internal transcribed spacer 2, and large subunit ribosomal RNA". The stretch from base 1 to 105 matches the Rfam family "5.8S ribosomal RNA", at positions 50 to 154 of the family's 154-position model. The record is from RNAcentral.
GAAAUGCGAUAAGUAGUGUGAAUUGCAGAAUUCAGUGAAUCAUCGAAUCUUUGAACGCACAUUGCGCCCCUCGGUAUUCCGUGGGGCAUGCCUGUUCGAGCGUCAUCUACACCCUCAAGCUCUGCUUGGUGUUGGGCGUCUGUCCCGCCUCCGCGCGCGGACUCGCCCCAAAUGCAUUGGCAGCGGUUCCUUGCCCCCCUCUUUGCGCAGCACAUUGCCAUUCGAGGCGGCGGCGGCCCGCGUCCAACAAGCUCAACCCCCCCGUCUUUGACCUCGGAUCGGGUAGGGAUACCCGCUGAACUUAAGC